RNAcentral lists this long non-coding RNA (256 nucleotides) under Setaria viridis. RNAcentral's name for it is "long non-coding RNA (SVIR_LNC007785)". The record is from RNAcentral. Lineage: Eukaryota; Viridiplantae; Streptophyta; Magnoliopsida; Poales; Poaceae.
AGCGCACCUGAGCACUCCCGCUGAAAUCUCGAAAGGUUCCCCUCUCCGCUCAAGUCCACUUCCCCCCCAAUCCACCUAGCCGCCUGCUCCUCCGCGCUGUGCUAGAGCUUCCUUGUUGCUCACAAGAAGCUCCGCCGCUGCCAGAGCACCGCCGGACAUCAUCACCACCCAAGCCUUAGUGCUUAAGACCUUCCUCCCAGUUCUGCUCCUUCCCGACCCCAAAGCUUCACCUAUAAACCGAAGGUAAACUACUGAC